GACCCUCCUGCCUCAGCCUCCCAAGUGCUGGGAUCACAGGUGUCAAGAUGGGAGGCGUCGACGGCUUCCUCUCUCGAUUCCCUCCUGGGUAUCAAAAUGAGGGGUCAGCAGGCCUCUUCGAGGAUGUGCCAGCCCUUUCCCUCCGGUUGGGCCUGUCGCCAGCCAGGCUGGGCUGCUCCAGCCUCUCUCUCCUCCCCCGCCUCCUUCCUACCCGCAGCUCCUGGGCUCGGGGAGCGGCCAGCUGUGAGUGUUUCUUUGGCAGUGUCUUAGCUGGUUGUUGUGAGUAACAGUGCAGGAAGCAAUCAGCAAGUAUACUGCCCUAGAACUGCUGCACAAUGUGGGCCGGGAGAGAGGAAGCCGGGGCGCCCGGACCAACACAGACGCCGGGAUGCUGGAAGCUCUGCUCCGCCUUGCUGCUGGGAUCUCACUCUAUAACCCUGGCUGGCCUUGAGCUU
Long non-coding RNA from Fukomys damarensis (Damara mole-rat), 455 nucleotides. RefSeq lists it as uncharacterized. The record is from RefSeq and is a predicted model, not a curated record. The transcript is spliced from 3 exons. NCBI's taxonomy places the organism in Eukaryota, Metazoa, Chordata, Mammalia, Rodentia, Bathyergidae.